RNAcentral lists this long non-coding RNA (1143 nucleotides) under Zonotrichia albicollis (white-throated sparrow). RNAcentral's name for it is "lncRNA (ENSZALG00000007491.1)". The record is from RNAcentral. Lineage: Eukaryota; Metazoa; Chordata; Aves; Passeriformes; Passerellidae.
GUUUGAAUAUUUGAAUUAAUCAACAUCUGAAUAUUUGAAUUUAUCAGCAUUCCAAUAUUUGAAUUUAUCAACAUUCCAAUAUUUGAAUUUAUCAAUGUCUGAAUAUUUGAAUUUAUCAACAUCUGAAUAUUUGAAUUUAUCAAUGUCUGAAUAUUUGAAUUUAUCAGUGCUUUAAUAUUUGAAUUUAUCAGCGUUUGAAUAUUUGAAUUCCAUCAAUGUUUUAAUAUUUGAAUUUCAUCAAUGCUUGAAUAUUUGGAUUUUAUCAAUAUUUUAAUAUUUCCCCCCAAACAGGCCUGGCUCUGCAGGUGAGGAUGAGGGAAAUCCCGCCUCCAUCAUUCCUGCUGAAAUCAGGGAAAAGUUCUGAAUUCUUGAGGAUUUUCCUGUUAAAACCCCUCCUCUGCUCAUCCUCAAAUCUAAAAUCCUCAAAAAAUGGAAAAAACAAAACAAAAAAAACCCCAAAAAACCCCAAACAACUACAACAACAACAAAAAAAAAAAUUUAAAAAUCCCCCCGGAAAACAAAACAAAAAAUACCCAAGAAACCCUAACACCCCCCCCCAAUAAAACCCAAAAAAACCAAAAUCCAAAACCCCAAAAAAAAAAUGUCCCCAUGGACAGGGAGGGACAUGGGCACUGUCCCCAUGGCACAGGGAGGGACACCCAUGGCACAGGGAGGGACACGGGCACUGUCCCCAUGGCACAAGGAGGGACAUGGCCAGUGUCCCCAUGGACAGGGAGGGACAUGGGCACUGUCCCCAUGGACAGGGAGGUGACAGCUCAGGAGCUAUCGUGGCCUCCCAGCUGCUGCUGCAGCUCCAGCUGUGCCUGUGGGGCUGCCAUCCCUGGGGACUUUAUCAGGGAUUGUCCCCAUUUUUGGGGCUGCCAUUCUUGGGGAUUUUUUGGAGGAAAUUUUCACAGCUGAGGGAUGGGAAAAUGGCCAUGAAUCCAUUCAGCGCUGCUGAUUUGGUUUGUGAAUGAUGAAAUAAUCAGAAUUUCUCGGUGCCAACGUGCCCUCUGCUGGCAGCGGGGCUCCGUGCAAAAUGGGGGAGAAAUCGCGAUAAAUCACGAUCAAAAUGUGGGAUAAAUCACGAUAAAUCAUAAUCAAAAUGUGGGAUAAAUCACGAUCAAAAUGUGGGAUUGUCAU